RNAcentral lists this long non-coding RNA (1691 nucleotides) under Numida meleagris (helmeted guineafowl). Its description in RNAcentral is "lncRNA (ENSNMEG00000014697.1)". The record is from RNAcentral. Lineage: Eukaryota; Metazoa; Chordata; Aves; Galliformes; Numididae.
UGCAAUGUUGCAACAGCAGCCUAUGCAAAGCUUUGGUUUGGUAUCACUUCUUAACACUAGAAACUUGGAAGCACAUAUCUGAGGAAACCAGGCUUCACUACACUGUUGGUUUUGGAAAUAAUUCCUUUUAAGAGAUGAAUAGUAAUUUACACAUUAUUGGAUUAUCUAAUCAACAUGAAAAUGAUUUUACUUGAACAUAGGGAAUCUUAGAGUUUGUCCUCCUCCAUAGGCUGCUGUCAGAGAUGGGUUAUUAAGCUUGAUGGACUUGAACUGAUAUGGUUGCUCCUCUGUUCCUUUGGCUUAGUCAUGAACAAAUGAAAACUAAUUUUGGCCACUCAGCAUUCUGCAAACCAUACAAUCCUCUGCACAUGGUAAUUCUGCAAGAGUAAGCUUUAAAAACGAAACUCUUGUUCUCUGUAGGCACUAGAGAUGCAAAUUUGGUGGGACAGAAUCUGAAGGCUAUCUAUCUCCUCAGCUGCCCUUUCUACAAUGUAAUAUUUCCUUUGCACUUACUUUGAAGUGGUUGUUUUUAAGCUCAGUUGUGUACAUACAAAAUGAUCUCUGAGGAUGAAAGGUAAUAUGAAACUAAAGAAAGACUUUGAAACAUAAUGCAUGAAAGAGGAAGGAAAGUAGAAGAGAUGCACUGUCAUUCACCAUUAAUCAUUUCAGCUGGCUACACCUAUGUUAAAAAUGCAUGUGCAUGUAUUUACACAAUACACAAUCAUGCAAAGAUGCAAAAAGUACGCUGACUGCAUGUUUGUUAUGUACAUUGAGUGCAUGUGAGGCUACAACAGAAGUAAAUGAGAAUGACACUGAAACAUGAGGUGUAAGCUAAAGGGAGUGUUCGAACUGCUGGAUGUUCAGUGAUGUAUGGAGCUGACAUUUGCAAAUCUAAGUUAUAUAUUCUGUUUUCAUUUCUUGACCCUGUCUGUAAAGCAAUCCUUCCACCAGACAGGGAAAAGGAAGAAGAGACAUAAUCCUGAGAGCUGCUUGGCCGCGAGGUGCUUCAUUGUACAUUUUUGUUCAUGGCCCUGAACCAAGCAGCUGAGCAAUACUAAAGAAAAUUCUUGUCGUUUGCCCCACAGGUAAGCUAAUAGGUAGUCACCCACAAGCAAGGUAUUUGCUUGCUAGUUGCACUUAGAGCCAUGUGAGAAUAUGAAUCUAGAUAGUCACCAAUUAUGUCACUCAGUGAGUGAGCUGACUAGAUUAGGCAUAGAGAAGAUAUUAAUUAUGCCUUGCUAAUGACUGUGAGGUAAUGUUUGCCUUUCUUUAUAUAGCUGUUCAGAGUGGUAGGAGGUAACUGUGCUGCUGUGGGAUAGCUUGUGAACUGGAUUGACGAUACUGGGUUGAGGGAGUGGUUGUGGGAUAGUUUCUGGAAAUGUGUGGUGGUAAAUACUUAUGUGAGCACAUUAGCACAGUGCCUGCAAAAUGCUGACACUGAUAGGUGAUUUAUGUGAAGAUCUCCAUGAAUGUAACUAAAAUGAUGGUGGCUGAAAAAGACAUAGUAACAAGGACAGGUAGGAUACAGAUGUCACUAGGCCCCCCUGCCUGAAGUGAUAAUCAGUGAAUUGGCUUUUGAGACUGGAAAUACACCGAAAAUGUUGAGGCUGAGGAAUGCGGUGUAUUCAGGAGCAAUAGCAGGCUGUAAUACGGAGAUGUGGUGUCAAGUGGGAAGUACUGUUGAUGGCACU